GCGCAGCAGUCGAGAAUUUUUCUCAAUGGGGGAAACCCUGAAGGAGCGACGCCGCGUGGAGGAUGAAGGUCUUCGGAUUGUAAACUCCUGUCAUUUGGGAACAAGUUGCAUCGAUUAACUGUCGAUGCAUUGAUAGUACCAGAAGAGGAAGAGACGGCUAACUCUGUGCCAGCAGCCGCGGUAAUACAGAGGUCUCAAGCGUUGUUCGGAUUCAUUGGGCGUAAAGGGUGCGUAGGUGGCGGGGUAAGUCAGGUGUGAAAUCUCGAGGCUCAACCUCGAAACUGCACUUGAUACUGCCUUGCUAGAGUACUGGAGAGGAGAUUGGAAUUUACGGUGUAGCAGUGAAAUGCGUAGAUAUCGUAAGGAAGACCAGUGGCGAAGGCGAAUCUCUGGACAGUUACUGACACUGAGGCACGAAGGCCAGGGGAGCAAACGGGGUUAGAUACCCCCGUAGU
RNAcentral lists this ribosomal RNA (455 nucleotides) under uncultured organism. RNAcentral's name for it is "bacterial SSU rRNA". It matches the Rfam family "Bacterial small subunit ribosomal RNA", at positions 346 to 794 of the family's 1533-position model. The record is from RNAcentral.